This 226-nucleotide ribosomal RNA is filed under the name uncultured bacterium. RNAcentral's name for it is "partial 16S ribosomal RNA". It matches the Rfam family "Bacterial small subunit ribosomal RNA", at positions 15 to 236 of the family's 1533-position model. The record is from RNAcentral.
GAUCCUGGCUCAGGACGAACGCUGGCGGCACGCUUAACACAUGCAAGUCGAACGAGAGAAGAGGAGCUUGCUUUUCUGAUCUAGUGGCGGACGGGUGAGUAACACGUGAGCAAUCUGCCUUUCAGAGGGGGAUACCGAUUGGAAACGAUCGUUAAUACCGCAUAACAUAAUUGAACCGCAUGAUUUGAUUAUACAAAGUAUUUAUCGCUGAAAGAUGAGCUCGCGU